RNAcentral lists this ribosomal RNA (522 nucleotides) under uncultured bacterium. RNAcentral's name for it is "partial 16S ribosomal RNA". It matches the Rfam family "Bacterial small subunit ribosomal RNA", at positions 355 to 892 of the family's 1533-position model. The record is from RNAcentral.
UGGGGAAUAUUGGACAAUGGGCGCAAGCCUGAUCCAGCCAUGCCGCGUGAGUGAUGAAGGCCCUAGGGUUGUAAAGCUCUUUCACCGGUGAAGAUAAUGACGGUAACCGGAGAAGAGGCCCCGGCUAACUUCGUGCCAGCAGCCGCGGUAAUACGAAGGGGGCUAGCGUUGUUCGGAUUUACUGGGCGUAAAGCGCACGUAGGCGGACUUUUAAGUCAGGGGUGAAAUCCCGGGGGCUCAACCCCGGAACUGCCUUUGAUACUGGAAGUCUUGAGUAUGGUAGAGGUGAGUGGAAUUCCGAGUGUAGAGGUGAAAUUCGUAGAUAUUCGGAGGAACACCAGUGGCGAAGGCGGCUCACUGGACCAUUACUGACGCUGAGGUGCGAAAGCGUGGGGGAGCAAACAGGAUUAGAUACCCCUGGUAGUCCACGCCGUAAACGAUGAAUGUUAGCCGUUGGGGAGUUUACUCUUCGGUGGCGCAGCUAACGCAUUAAACAUUCCGCCUGGGGAGUACGGUCGCAAG